Molecule: ribosomal RNA, 319 nt
Filed under: uncultured eukaryote
Lineage: Eukaryota
Description: partial 18S ribosomal RNA
Rfam family: Eukaryotic small subunit ribosomal RNA
Source: RNAcentral
CCCUUAGAUGUUCUGGGCAGCACGCGCGCUACAAUGGUCUUCGCAAACGGAUGCAUUCUCGAAGUAGAAUGCCAAUCUUGGAAUCUAUGCCUUGGUCGGGACAGUUGCUUGCAAUUUUUCGACUCGAACCAGGAAUUCCUUGUAAUCGUGAUUCAUCACAUCACGAUGAAUACGUCCCUGCCCUUUGUACACACCGCCCGUCGCUCCUACCGAUCGAAGAGUUAGGUGAAUUGUUUUGAUCGAUAAGAUUUGACUAUGGUCAACUCUCGUUGUGAAAUUCUGUGAAUCUGACUGUUUAGAGGAAGGAAAAGUCGUAACA